GAUGAACGCUGGCGGCGUGCUUAACACAUGCAAGUCGAACGAAGCAUUUGCGACAGAUUUUUUCGGAAUGAAGUUGCUUAUGACUGAGUGGCGGACGGGUGAGUAACGCGUGGGUAACCUGCCUUGUACUGGGGGAUAGCAGCUGGAAACGGCUGGUAAUACCGCAUAAGCGCACAAUGUUGCAUGACAUGGUGUGAAAAACUCCGGUGGUAUAAGAUGGACCCGCGUCUGAUUAGCUAGUUGGUGAGAUAACAGCCCACCAAGGCGACGAUCAGUAGCCGACCUGAGAGGGUGACCGGCCACAUUGGGACUGAGACACGGCCCAGACUCCUACGGGAGGCAGCAGUGGGGAAUAUUGCACAAUGGAGGAAACUCUGAUGCAGCGACGCCGCGUGAGUGAAGAAGUAAUUCGUUAUGUAAAGCUCUAUCAGGAGGGAAGAUAGUGACGGUACCUGACUAAGAAGCUCCGGCUAAAUACGUG
RNAcentral lists this ribosomal RNA (481 nucleotides) under uncultured bacterium. RNAcentral describes it as "partial 16S ribosomal RNA". It matches the Rfam family "Bacterial small subunit ribosomal RNA", at positions 28 to 507 of the family's 1533-position model. The record is from RNAcentral.